RNAcentral lists this small nuclear RNA (102 nucleotides) under Erinaceus europaeus (western European hedgehog). The record is from RNAcentral. Lineage: Eukaryota; Metazoa; Chordata; Mammalia; Eulipotyphla; Erinaceidae.
UCACUUUAGCAACAAAUAUACUAAAAUUGGAGUGAUACAAAAAAAUUGGCAUGAACCCUGUCCAAAGAUGUCAUGCAAAUUUGUGAAGAUUUUAUCAGGACA